UGAAAGACGCGCAAUUAUUAUCAUUCCUAUUUUUCCAGAAGUUUUUAUUUGGCCACUAUUAUUAGUGGCCAUUUUC
Molecule: small RNA, 76 nt
Filed under: Photorhabdus temperata subsp. temperata Meg1
Lineage: Bacteria; Pseudomonadati; Pseudomonadota; Gammaproteobacteria; Enterobacterales; Morganellaceae
Description: SraD RNA
Rfam family: MicA sRNA
Source: RNAcentral